GAUGAACGCUGGCGGCGUGCCUAAUACAUGCAAGUCGAGCGAACGGACGAGAAGCUUGCUUUUCUGAUGUUAGCGGCGGACGGGUGAGUAACACGUGGAUAACCUACCUAUAAGACUGGGAUAACUUCGGGAAACCGGAGCUAAUACCGGAUAAUAUUUUGAACCGCAUGGUUCAAAAGUGAAAGACGUUCUUGCUGUCACUUAUAGAUGGAUCCGCGCUGCAUUAGCUAGCUGGUAAGGUAACGGCUUACCAAGGCAACGAUGCAUAGCCGACCUGAGAGGGUGAUCGGCCACACUGGAACUGAGACACGGUCCAGACUCCUACGGGAGGCAGCAGUAGGGAAUCUUCCGCAAUGGGCGAAAGCCUGACGGAGCAACGCCGCGUGAGUGAUGAAGGUCUUCGGAUCGUAAAACUCUGUUAUUAGGGAAGAACAUAUGUGUAAGUAACUGUGCACAUCUUGACGGUACCUAAUCAGAAAGCCACGGCUAACUACGUG
This 497-nucleotide ribosomal RNA is filed under the name uncultured bacterium. RNAcentral describes it as "partial 16S ribosomal RNA". It matches the Rfam family "Bacterial small subunit ribosomal RNA", at positions 28 to 507 of the family's 1533-position model. The record is from RNAcentral.